GACGAACGCUGGCGGCGUGCUUAACACAUGCAAGUCGAACGGAAAGGCCCUGCUUUUGUGGGGUGCUCGAGUGGCGAACGGGUGAGUAACACGUGAGUAACCUGCCCUUAACUUUGGGAUAACUUCAGGAAACUGGGGCUAAUACCGGAUAGGAGCUCCUGCUGCAUGGUGGGGGUUGGAAAGUUUCGGCGGUUGGGGAUGGACUCGCGGCUUAUCAGCUUGUUGGUGGGGUAGUGGCUUACCAAGGUUUUGACGGCUAGGCGGCCUUGGAGGGUUGACGGGGACAUUGGGACUGAGAUACGGACCAGAAUCCUACGGGAGGCAGCAGGGGGGAAUAUUGCACAAUGGGCGGAAGCCUGAUGCGGCGACGCCGCGUGCGGGAUGACGUCCCUCGGGUUGUAAACCGCUUUCUCCUGUGACGAAGCGUGAGUGACGGUAAUGGGUAAAGAAGCACCGGCUAACUACGUG
Molecule: ribosomal RNA, 468 nt
Filed under: uncultured bacterium
Lineage: Bacteria
Description: partial 16S ribosomal RNA
Rfam family: Bacterial small subunit ribosomal RNA
Source: RNAcentral